CUACGGGGGGCUGCAGUGAGGAAUAUUGCGCAAUGGGGGAAACCCUGACGCAGCGACGCCGCGUGGAUGAUGAAGGCCUUCGGGUCGUAAAAUCCUGUCAGAAGGAAAGAAGUGUAUGGUAGCUAAUAUCUGUCAUACUUGACGGUACCUUCAAAGGAAGCACCGGCUAGCUCCGUGCCAGCAGCCGCGGUAAUACGGAGGGUGCAAGCGUUGUUCGGAAUUACUGGGCGUAAAGCGCGCGUAGGCGGUUUUAUAAGUCAGAUGUGAAAGUCCACGGCUCAACCAUGGAAGUGCAUUUGAAACUGUAAGACUUGAGGAUUGGAGGGGGUAGUGGAAUUCCCGGUGUAGAGGUGAAAUUCGUAGAUAUCGGGAGGAAUACCGGUGGCGAAGGCGACUAUCUGGCCAAAUACUGACGCUGAGGUGCGAAAGCGUGGGGAGCAAACAGGAUUAGAUACCCGAGUAGUC
Molecule: ribosomal RNA, 465 nt
Filed under: uncultured bacterium
Lineage: Bacteria
Description: partial 16S ribosomal RNA
Rfam family: Bacterial small subunit ribosomal RNA
Source: RNAcentral